This 253-nucleotide ribosomal RNA is filed under the name uncultured bacterium. RNAcentral describes it as "partial 16S ribosomal RNA". It matches the Rfam family "Bacterial small subunit ribosomal RNA", at positions 524 to 776 of the family's 1533-position model. The record is from RNAcentral.
UACAGAGGGUGCAAGCGUUGUUCGGAAUUAUUGGGCGUAAAGGGCGCGUAGGCGGUGCCACAAGUCACCUGUGAAAUCUCCGGGCUUAACUCGGAGCCUGCAGGCGAAACUGUGGUGCUGGAGUGUGGGAGAGGUGCGUGGAAUUCCCGGUGUAGCGGUGAAAUGCGCAGAUAUCAGGAAGAACACCCGUGGCGAAAGCGGCUCUCUGGAACGGUACUGACGCUGAGACGCGAAAGCGUGGGGAGCGAACAGG